RNAcentral lists this ribosomal RNA (404 nucleotides) under uncultured bacterium. RNAcentral's name for it is "bacterial SSU rRNA". It matches the Rfam family "Bacterial small subunit ribosomal RNA", at positions 8 to 440 of the family's 1533-position model. The record is from RNAcentral.
AGAGUUUGAUCAUGGCUCAGGAUGAACGCUGGCGGCGUGCUUAACACAUGCAAGUCGAACGAACCCUUUCGGGGGUGAGUGGCGGACGGGUGAGUAACGCGUGAGGAUCUGCCUACAGGAUGGGGACAACAGCGGGAAACUGCUGCUAAAACCCAAUGUGCCGAGAGGUGAAAUAUUUAUAGCCUGUAGAUGAGCUCGCGUCUGAUUAGCUAGUUGGUGAGGUAAAGGCUUACCAAGGCGACGAUCAGUAGCUGGUCUGAGAGGACGAUCAGCCACACUGGGACUGAGACACGGCCCAACUCCUACGGGAGGCAGCAGUGGGGAAUUUUCCGCAAUGGGCGAGAGCCUGACGGAGCAACGCCGCGUGAGGGAGGAAGGCCUGUGGGUUGUAAACCUCUUUUCUC